GACGAACCGUGCGAACGUUGUUCGGAAUCACUGGGCUUAAAGGGCGCGUAGGCGGCCUAUCAAGUCUGGGGUGAAAUCCCGCGGCUCAACCGUGGAACUGCCUCAGAUACUGACGGUCUCGAGGGAGGUAGGGGCAUGCGGAACUGUAGGUGGAGCGGUGAAAUGCGUUGAUAUCUACAGGAACUCCGGUGGCGAAAGCGGCGUGCUGGACCUCUUCUGACGCUGAGGCGCGAAAGCUAGGGGAGCAAACGGG
This 253-nucleotide ribosomal RNA is filed under the name uncultured bacterium. Its description in RNAcentral is "partial 16S ribosomal RNA". It matches the Rfam family "Bacterial small subunit ribosomal RNA", at positions 524 to 776 of the family's 1533-position model. The record is from RNAcentral.